This 658-nucleotide ribosomal RNA is filed under the name uncultured bacterium. RNAcentral describes it as "bacterial SSU rRNA". It matches the Rfam family "Bacterial small subunit ribosomal RNA", at positions 57 to 749 of the family's 1533-position model. The record is from RNAcentral.
GCAGUCGCACGAGAAGGGACUUCGGUCCUGAGUACAGUGGCGCACGGGUGAGUAACACGUGAAUCAUCUACCUUCGAGUGGGGAAUAACUGAGAGAAAUCUUAGCUAAUACCGCAUAAUACCUACGGGUCAAAGCAGUAAUGCGCUUGAAGAGGAGUUCGCGGCAGAUUAGUUAGUUGGCAGGGUAAUGGCCUACCAAGACGAUGAUCUGUAUCCGGCCUGAGAGGGCGCACGGACACACUGGAACUGAGACACGGCCCAGACUCCUACGGGAGGCAGCAGUGGGGAAUAUUGCGCAAUGGGCGAAAGCCUGACGCAGCAACGCCGCGUGGAGGAUGAAGGCUUUCGGGUUGUAAACUCCUUUCAGCGGGGACGAAACUGACGGUACCUGCAGAAGAAGCCCCGGCUAACUACGUGCCAGCAGCCGCGGUAAUACGUAGGGGGCAAGCGUUGUCCGGAAUCACUGGGCGUAAAGCGUGCGUAGGCGGUUUGUUAAGUCUGGAGUGAAAGGCCAUGGCUCAACCAUGGGAAUGCUUUGGAAACUGGCAGACUUGAGUACUGGAGAGGCAAGGGGAAUUCCACGUGUAGCGGUGAAAUGCGUAGAGAUGUGGAGGAAUACCAGUGGCGAAGGCGCCUUGCUGGACAGUGACUGACGCUGA